Molecule: long non-coding RNA, 532 nt
Organism: Microtus oregoni (creeping vole)
Lineage: Eukaryota; Metazoa; Chordata; Mammalia; Rodentia; Cricetidae
Exons: 3
Source: RefSeq, a predicted model, not a curated record
GGGCAGUCUGACAUAUUUUGAGAAGGCAUUCGGUCUGAGGAGUUGUAGAGACAGGAUAUCCCAGAAGGUCUGAAGAUUUCAUACAGGACUGAUGCUGCCAUACAUCAUCGUGGGGGCCGUAAUAGGAGUAAUUGUUUGGGAAAAGAAGAUAAGAGAAAAGAUAAAGAAAUGGGCAGCGGACAAACAAUAGGAGAAGAUCCUGAUGGCAAACGAAGGACUGAAAGUAAAAGACAAUGUGAAAGGAAAUGCUGAAGGCUUGAAUCUGAUCAGUUGCGCUGAAAGGCUUCGAUUCUAUGCCAGUUGACAGUGAUGGAGUUCACAAGGAAAGCCCUUCGUCUUUGACUUCUGAUUGGUGAAAAUUGUAACUGUAACUUUGCAACAAAUGCUUGUGCUUCUAAAUAUUUGUGCUUUUAAAUCCUGCUUCUUCCCCUGCUCAGGGCUGCCAGAAAAAGCAAGGCUCCUGAGUCCUUGUCCUGCAGCCCUGAUUGACCACUGGCCCGCUUAAAUGGUGAUUUAUUAAAGUCUUUGGAAC